Molecule: ribosomal RNA, 468 nt
Filed under: uncultured bacterium
Lineage: Bacteria
Description: partial 16S ribosomal RNA
Rfam family: Bacterial small subunit ribosomal RNA
Source: RNAcentral
GACGAACGCUGGCGGCGUGCUUAACACAUGCAAGUCGAACGGAAAGGCCCUGCUUUUGUGGGGUGCUCGAGUGGCGAACGGGUGAGUAACACGUGAGUAACCUGCCCUUGACUUUGGGAUAACUUCAGGAAACUGGGGCUAAUACCGGCUAGGAGCUCCUGCUGCAUGGUGGGGGUUGGAAAGUUUCGGCGGCUGGGGAUGGACUCGCGGCUUAUCAGCUUGUUGGUGGGGUAGUGGCUUACCAAGGCUUUGACGGGUAGCCGGCCUGAGAGGGUGACCGGCCACAUUGGGACUGAGAUACGGCCCAGACUCCUACGGGAGGCAGCAGUGGAGAAUAUUGCACAAUGGGCGGAAGCCUGAAGCAGCAACGCCGCGUGCGGGAUGACGGCCUUCGGGUUGUAAACCGCUUUCGCCUGUGACGAAGAGUGAGUGACGGUAAUGGGUAAAGAAGCACCGGCUAACUACGUG